Molecule: transfer RNA, 75 nt
Filed under: Bacteriovoracaceae bacterium
Lineage: Bacteria; Pseudomonadati; Bdellovibrionota; Bacteriovoracia; Bacteriovoracales; Bacteriovoracaceae
Description: tRNA-Thr
Rfam family: tRNA
About the family: Transfer RNA (tRNA) molecules are approximately 80 nucleotides in length.
Source: RNAcentral
GCUCACGUAGCUUAGUGGUAGAGCACUCCCUUGGUAAGGGAGAGGUCGCGAGUCCAAUUCUCGCCGUGAGCUCCA